Molecule: ribosomal RNA, 530 nt
Filed under: uncultured bacterium
Lineage: Bacteria
Description: partial 16S ribosomal RNA
Rfam family: Bacterial small subunit ribosomal RNA
Source: RNAcentral
UAGGGAAUCUUCGGCAAUGGACGAAAGUCUGACCGAGCAACGCCGCGUGAGUGAAGAAGGUUUUCGGAUCGUAAAACUCUGUUGGUAGAGAAGAACGUUGGUGAGAGUGGAAAGCUCAUCAAGUGACGGUAACUACCCAGAAAGGGACGGCUAACUACGUGCCAGCAGCCGCGGUAAUACGUAGGUCCCGAGCGUUGUCCGGAUUUAUUGGGCGUAAAGCGAGCGCAGGUGGUUUAUUAAGUCUGGUGUAAAAGGCAGUGGCUCAACCAUUGUAUGCAUUGGAAACUGGUAGACUUGAGUGCAGGAGAGGAGAGUGGAAUUCCAUGUGUAGCGGUGAAAUGCGUAGAUAUAUGGAGGAACACCGGUGGCGAAAGCGGCUCUCUGGCCUGUAACUGACACUGAGGCUCGAAAGCGUGGGGAGCAAACAGGAUUAGAUACCCUGGUAGUCCACGCCGUAAACGAUGAGUGCUAGAUGUAGGGAGCUAUAAGUUCUCUGUAUCGCAGCUAACGCAAUAAGCACUCCGCCUGGG